CCUACGGGGGGCAGCAGUGAGGAAUAUUGGUCAAUGGACGAGAGUCUGAACCAGCCAAGUAGCGUGAAGGAUGACUGCCCUAUGGGUUGUAAACUUCUUUUAUAUGGGAAUAAAAUGUUCCACGUGUGGGAUUUUGUAUGUACCAUAGGAAUAAGGAUCGGCUAACUCCGUGCCAGCAGCCGCGGUAAUACGGAGGAUCCGAGCGUUAUCCGGAUUUUUUGGGUUUAAAGGUAGCGUAGGUGGAUUUUUAAGUCAGUUGUGAAAGUUUGCGGCUCAACCGUAAAAUUGCAGUUGAAACUGGCAGUCUUGAGUACAGUAGAGGUGGGCGGAAUUCGUGGUGUAGCGGUGAAAUGCUUAGAUAUCACGAAGAACUCCGAUUGCGAAGGCAGCUCACUGGACUGCAACUGACACUGAGGCUCGAAAGUGUGGGUAUCAAACAGGAUUAGAUACCCUUGUAGUC
RNAcentral lists this ribosomal RNA (460 nucleotides) under uncultured bacterium. Its description in RNAcentral is "partial 16S ribosomal RNA". It matches the Rfam family "Bacterial small subunit ribosomal RNA", at positions 338 to 795 of the family's 1533-position model. The record is from RNAcentral.